Molecule: RNA transcript, 932 nt
Organism: Drosophila obscura
Lineage: Eukaryota; Metazoa; Arthropoda; Insecta; Diptera; Drosophilidae
Exons: 3
Source: RefSeq, a predicted model, not a curated record
GGUAGCACUGACAAGUUACAGCAAAGCAAAUCAAAACAUCAGAAAUUUUAAAACGUCAUAGUUGCUUGUAUAUUGGAUAUAAUAAGUAAAAUAAGAACAAAUGUACUUCCGUGGAUCUUCCAUCGCGGUCACAGCCAUCUGGCUGUUUGUGCUGGCGUUGGAGCAACAGCAGAGUGACGCAGCAGUGUCGGCAGCAUCCACGAAUGGCACAAAGGCCAUUGAAAUAUCAGAGCUUAGUGCACCGGCUGCAAUCCAGGAAGCGGUAAAGUCGGAUGAUCGUAAAACCGUUAAGAAGGCUUUAUCCAUAGAUGCAGUGCCCAAUCGAAAGGAUAGCGAUGUCGUCAUUGCUGAAAAGCCUGCGCUAGCGUUAAAGGAACAAGCCCAGGAGUCAGCAUCGCCACCCUCCAGUCUGCCUGUAGAGGAUGUUCGCAUCGAGCACUCUAGCAUGGGCAAUGAAGUGGACUUUCCGGGACAAGCCGUCGUCUACGUUCUGGUGGCAAUAACAAGUUCCGCCAUUUUGCUGCUUGUCUUGCGUGUCUAUCGAAUGCGAUUAACACGGGCAGAGCGCAAAUAUGGGGUGCAAGGCGACAGGGCCAAUCAGGAGCUAACACCGCUGCCCAUGGCCAUCGAGGACGUCAACAGCGACGAGGAGGACCACACCGUGUUCGAGGUCAAUCGCCAGAAUAUACGCAUAUUAUGAAACAGCUAACACAACAGCACGCCAAAGAGAUAUUUGGUCGCCACACCAUUCUCAACACUUCUCAGCAACUUGCCUGUUGGUUCCCGUUUAACGAAUCAAAAGAAAACAAAACCAUUUGUGAUAACUUUAACGAUAUAUGAAUAUGUCUGUAAGAAUAUAUUGUUGAAGGCAUGCCAAUCUCGGUCUACGGAUGCUUUCACAAUAAAUGUUAUAUUAAAUGUACUGCACAAAG